GCAGAGAGAUCUUGCUAAGAAAAGAAUUUGGGGAGCACUUCACUGUAGCAGCAGUAACCCGAAACUUGUUCUUGGUCAUACAGCUUCAGCAGAAGCACAAUAAAGGAGAGCAAUGGCUGAUGACGCUGCUGAUAUAGAUCAGCUUGAACCACAGCCCAGCCAAAUCCACAGUGACUCUCAGGUUACUGGGCUAGACUUUCUCUUGAUGCUACUGGAGAUUUUGGCUAUUUUGCUAUCAACCAUUUGUCAUUCGUUUGAUGGAUAUUUUGGCUGCUUCCAACUUCCAGAUACCGAAGCACCAGAGAAGUUAGCGCAGAUUGUGAUAAUGAUGCAUUAAUAAAAUACCCUGCCAGAGGUCGUGCAGACAAAACAGAAACGCCCACAACAAGCUGCAGCUGCUGAUUCUUCAGUGUUUCUUCUGCUGACAAGUUUCCAGCACACCAGGAUAUUUUGUGUCUAUACUUUUGUAUUAUAGCCUACAGACUUCCUCAGUAAGAUCUACAAAUGCUGACAGUAAUUUGUUUCUUAAUGUAUUAACAAAUGGCCUUGUAGUGUAGUUGUUUACACAUUGCCACUUUGAUUCUGAGAGAACCUUUGGGCUUACAUCUGGAAGGGGAUCUAGUAUAAAAAUCUGCCAAAUAAAACAUCUGGAAUGGG
Long non-coding RNA from Oreochromis aureus, 657 nucleotides. RefSeq lists it as uncharacterized. The record is from RefSeq and is a predicted model, not a curated record. The transcript has 2 exons. NCBI's taxonomy places the organism in Eukaryota, Metazoa, Chordata, Actinopteri, Cichliformes, Cichlidae.